Molecule: long non-coding RNA, 856 nt
Organism: Ornithorhynchus anatinus (platypus)
Lineage: Eukaryota; Metazoa; Chordata; Mammalia; Monotremata; Ornithorhynchidae
Exons: 5
Source: RefSeq, a predicted model, not a curated record
UUGAUCGAGCAGCUGGGAGGAGAUUGGAGAGAAUCUUAUAGCAAUAGCAAACAAACAAUCCACUGGUUUAUAAGCCCCUUGAGGGCAGAUAUUGGGCCGAUUUACCCUGUGCUCCUCUCAAAUGCUGUGUCCUGUGCCCAGUAAGGAUUCCAUUAAAUACCGUUGAUUGAAGCAGUGUCUUUCCAUCUUCAGAGUCCAAGCCAUGAUUCCUAACCAUUUCUCUUCAGCUCCUAGAGAAGCGCACGCAAGACAACAGCCUCACUGCAUAUGCUCAGAAAGUGGAAAAGGUCUGAUCCGAAUCAGCCCGGAGUCAGGUAGUUGCCAAUCCCAUGGAAGUAAAUGGAGGAGUGGGGGUUCAAACCCCCAGUCUGCUUUCUGAUUCAAUAUUUCAUUCAGCGAUGAAUUCUUGGAACACAGUGUUGAGCGAAAUGCCAGUGUUGCCAACUUGGGGGCCAUGCAAACAGCAGCCCCACCAUCCAGUACUGGAAAUCAGAAACCAUGGCAUGAAGAUAUUACUCAGGCCCUCUGAAAUCACCUUGUUCAUAAACUUGUCCAAGCUGUAUUUUCUACUCCUGAUCCUGCAGCUUUGAAAGACAGGUGGAUGGAAGACUUGGUUGCAUAUGCUCAAAAGAUAGAAGAUGACACAUACAAAUCAACAAAUAGCCGACAAAUCUACUCAGAUGAAGCCAAUGAGUAAAUUCAUCUCCACGUAAAAUGCAAAUUGGCAACUUUAUGGUGUUUCCAGUGACAAUGUAUGGAUCCGAAAGCCAGACAAUGAAAAAGCAGGAUAGAAAGAACAUCGAUUCUUUUGAAAUGUGGUGGUGGAGAAGGCUUUUGCGAAUACCGUGGACUGUCU